This 930-nucleotide small RNA is filed under the name Rattus norvegicus (Norway rat). RNAcentral describes it as "uncharacterized LOC102551351". Lineage: Eukaryota; Metazoa; Chordata; Mammalia; Rodentia; Muridae. The record is from RNAcentral.
GGAACCACAGAUACUUGAUAUUAUCUCAGUAAAAAAGUCAUACUAGCCAAUUAAAAUCAGGACCCACUUUGACUUCAGUAACUGUUGGAGCACAUACAACCAAGGAUAGUGUGGUUUUGGUUAAUAAGAUCAGAAGCAGAGGGAACACGGCUGAGUAGGAUAAGGAUUAAGAAUUAUAUGGACUUUGAAUGAUAAUUCAGGUGGGUGAAGUAGCUGGGAGAGGAAAGAUGAUACUGCUAUCAUCCAAAGAGUUUAGAGAUUGUUACAUCUAUGAAAGGUCACAAUUGAAAAGUAAAAGGAGCCAGGGAUAGGGAUGAUAGAAAGGUGAUCAGACAGGAGUAGGAGGCUGGAAGAUAUAAUGUAAAGAAUGCCUUAUAGUAAACUGGGUGAAGGGGAUGAAUAACCCUAAAAUAUAACAGCAAUGAUGAAAGUAAAACCACAUGAGGCAUAAGUAAGAAUACGAACUAAAUAAUAGAAAGCAAUUAAUAAAGAGAUGCCUAUGGAUGAAUUGCUGACACCACUGUGCUGAGCUGAAGGUGAUGUUCUCACCCCUCUGGUUCCCAGAGUCUCCAUUUGGUGCUGUUUCUGAGUCAUUUUAAAUUAGUAGUUUUCAUGGUGGGCAGCUUGUUCCGUAGAGAAAACAUGCCGAUAUUUGCAAGAUUUUUUUUCUUUCUGAAACUCAAGGGUAGGUGGAAUGGUAAUGGUGGGAUCUUUGAAGAGAAGCCCAGGAUGCUGCUAAACUCAGCACAGGACAGUCCACUCAAGUGAAGAACCCCGCCCAUGAAAUGGAGCCCUCCACAUUCAGGGGGAUUCUUCUCUACUCAGUUGAACUUCUGUGGAAAUACCCUCACAGAUGUAUCUAGAGGUGCUGUUGUCUUACAAAGAGGAGGAGACUUAGGCUGCUCAUCCAAAGGACUGACAGAUGCUGCC